AACGAACGCUGGCGGCAUGCCUAACACAUGCAAGUCGAACGAGACCUUCGGGUCUAGUGGCGCACGGGUGCGUAACGCGUGGGAACCUGCCCUUAGGUUCGGAAUAACUCCCCGAAAGGGGUGCUAAUACCGGAUAAUGUCUUCGGACCAAAGAUUUAUCGCCUUUGGAUGGGCCCGCGUUGGAUUAGCUAGUUGGUAGGGUAAAAGCCUACCAAGGCGACGAUCCAUAGCUGGUCUGAGAGGAUGAUCAGCCACCCUGGGACUGAGACACGGCCCAGACUCCUCGGGGAGGCAGCAGUGGGGAAGAUGGGACAAUGGGCGAAAGCCGGAUCCAGCAGGGCCGCGUGAGUGAGGAAGGCGUUAGGGUUGUAAAGCUCUUUUACCCGGGAUGAUAAUGCCGGUACCGGGAGAAUAAGCGCCGGCUACCUCCGU
This 432-nucleotide ribosomal RNA is filed under the name uncultured bacterium. RNAcentral's name for it is "partial 16S ribosomal RNA". It matches the Rfam family "Bacterial small subunit ribosomal RNA", at positions 29 to 506 of the family's 1533-position model. The record is from RNAcentral.